Acinonyx jubatus (cheetah) is the source of this 1991-nucleotide long non-coding RNA. RefSeq lists it as uncharacterized. The transcript is spliced from 5 exons. NCBI's taxonomy places the organism in Eukaryota, Metazoa, Chordata, Mammalia, Carnivora, Felidae. The record is from RefSeq and is a predicted model, not a curated record.
GGCCGUGGCGCACACCUUCCCUAGUCACUGGCGCUCGUCCUCGUGACAAAAGAAAACUUCAGGCUCGGUUUUCCAGCUCGCAAACAGUUAAGUGACUUCCUGCAAACGCUAGAGUCCCAGCAACCAGCCUUCCAAUCAAAAUCACAGGCUCCCCUGAACAGUAUGAAUGCCGUGCCCGGUCCCUGAGACGGUGCGACUAAAGCAUUCCAAGAUGUUUCUUUGCCCUCUUCGGCUGGAAAAGUGACCUCCAAGAAGUUUCUUUGCAAGGUGGUUCUGGCUCAGAGUCUCUCUCUCUGUCAAAUCUGCAGUCAGGUAUCGUCUGGGGCUGUAGUCAUCUGAAGGCCGAAGGGAGGAUCUCCUUCUGAUUGCAUUCACGUGGCUGUCGGCACACUUCAAAUCUGUUUCCAGAUUCACGCCCAUGGGCCUGUCUGCAAGGCUGCCCCAUGACAUGGCGGCCAGCUUCUCCUAGAGCAAGUGAACUGAGAGAGCAUGAGAGAGAGCAUGUGACAAGGAAGCCACAGUCUUUGUAUAUCAUAAUCUUGGAACCAAUCACUCAUCCUUUCUGCUGUGUUCUAUUUUUUUUUAAGUCUGGAGGCUGGGAAAGCCCAAAAUCAGGGUCCAGCAUGGUUGGCUUCUGAUGGGGGCCCUCAUCCUGGCUUGUAGCUGGCCGUCUGCUCGCUGUGUCCUCACAUAGUGGAGGGCAGAGAGCUCUCUUGCGUCUCUUCUUACAAAGGCACCAACCACCCAUCAUGAGGGCUCCGCCUCACCUCCCAAAGGCCUCAUCUCCAAAUACCAUCAUGCCAGGGAUUAGAGUUUCAACAUGUGAAUUUGGGGGAAACACAUUCAAUUUACAGAAGCAAUAAGUUCCUACUCAUUCAAACACUUCCCCUCCCUUCCCUCCACCCCCGCCUGCAGGCUGUCACCUGCUUUGGAGGACAAUUUUUCUCUUUUAAGCUUAUUUAUCUAUUUCGAGAGAGAGUGAGCAAGUCUGGGUAUGUGAAUAGGGGAGGGAGAGAGAGGAUCCAAAGCAGGCUCUGCAGUCAGCGUGGAGCACAGUGUGGGGCUCGAUCGCACGAACUCUAAGAUCAUGACCUGAGCUGCAGUCAAGAGUCGGACGCUUAGCCACUGAGGCAGGCUUAACGGAUAGAGCUUACCAGGCGCCCCUGGAGGACAACUCUUUUGGAGAGCCUUGGAUUUUCCAGACUGUUCCAUUGCCUCUCAGACAUCAGCUCACCAGAGUUUGCCCUGAAACGCACACAGUGAUUUCUGUGCUAGAUACUGACUUUUUGGUAUUUCCUGCUGGAGCUUUGUUUGGGUGGAGUCCCCUUUGGAAGUACCAGGGUUUUCCUGUUUGUGCAGUUGCUUUGCAAAACCUUAAAUAAACUCUGUUGUGGUGUGUUCAGAAUCAUAACCACUCAACAACUAUUUAUUAAGUAAGCACCUACUAGGAGCCUGGGCACCGUUCAAGCAGCUGGGUAUACAGUGGUGACCUCAGGGGACACCGCUUUCAAAGAGCUUUCAGUCAGGCCCAGGACACAGACUGGUAAACAGGCAUUUGCCCUCUCCACGUGGUGAGAGCCGCGAAGGAUAAAGUCCAGGGUGCGGGAGGAGAGGCGGGGUGCAGAGAGCAGAGACAGCGGACCCAGGGUCGGACGGGCAGGGCUUGGGGGUGUGGGUGUGUCAGCACAGGCUUCCUGGGGCCAAAUCCAGCUAGGCUGCACCCCAAAUCCAAGAAACUAAUUUUCAUAGAAGCUUUUCUCAUUUAUCUGCGAGGAGGUGACUCGGCUUGAUUUGCAAGAACACUUUUUCAAGUCUUUUUUUUAUUAACUUGUUUUAUUUUCUAUUCUUUAAAAUUUACAUCCAAAUUAGUUAGCAUAUGGUGCAACAGUGAUUUCAGGAGUAGAUUCCUUAGUGCCCUUUACCCGUUUAGCCCAUCCCCCCUGCCACAAUCCCUCCCUUGACCCUCAGUUUGUUCUCCCUAUUUACGAGUC